Delphinapterus leucas (beluga whale) is the source of this 494-nucleotide non-coding RNA. Lineage: Eukaryota; Metazoa; Chordata; Mammalia; Artiodactyla; Monodontidae. The record is from RefSeq and is a predicted model, not a curated record.
GCUACUCUGGUGCUUUGGGGCCACUUUUAAGUACAAUAAGGGCUACGUGAUCUCAAGCACUGCGGACGACGGUCGAUCUGAUCACCUGGUCGAUGAAGGGACUAACAGGGGAGACGCUAUGGACAAAGACUACAGUAUGGCGUUAUGCCCUGGGAAACCAAAAAAUCCGAGUGACUUGCUUUCUCGCAGUGGUCUGAACCUGAGCCUGCAGUGUCUCUGAGGUUGGUGAAAAACCCAAGGUCCUGGGUGUUAUGUCAUUAGGUUUUAGGAAGGAUAGUCAGGUACAUUCUUUGCUGACUUGAAGGCAAAUAAGCUCUUGACCAGCACUGUACUUGGAGAUAAUCACAUCAGAACACCCAGAUCAAAUUCAGAAUGACUCAAUAAAGUUAAGCAACUAAAGACUGUUCCUAUUAAUUCUAUUAGCAUCAGUAUGCAGGAAAAACAAAAUGAAAAAAAAAAAGACCAAAAAAGUAAUAAGCAAAUUAAUGAAAUAA